This 245-nucleotide ribosomal RNA is filed under the name uncultured Chloroflexota bacterium. RNAcentral's name for it is "uncultured Chloroflexi bacterium partial 16S ribosomal RNA". It matches the Rfam family "Bacterial small subunit ribosomal RNA", at positions 524 to 768 of the family's 1533-position model. Lineage: Bacteria; Bacillati; Chloroflexota. The record is from RNAcentral.
UACGUAGGAGGCAAGCGUUAUUCAGAUUUACUGGGCGUAAAGAGGGCGCAAGCGGCUCUUCAAGUCUGAUGUAAAAUCUCCCGGCUUAACCGGGAGGGAACGUCUGAUACUGUUGGGCUAGAGGGCAACAAAGGGAGGUGGAAUUCCCGGUGUAGUGGUGAAAUGCGUAGAUAUCGGGAGGAACACCAGUGGCGAAGGCGGUCUCCUGGGUUGUUGCUGACGCUGAGGCCCAAAAGCGUGGGGAG